CGAUAUCAGAUUAGCUAGUUGGUGAGGUAAAAGCUCACCAAGGCGACGAUCUGUAGCGGGUCUGAGAGGAUGAUCCGCCACACUGAAACUGAGACACGGUCCAGACUCCUACGGGAGGCAGCAGUGGGGAAUUUUGGACAAUGGGGGCAACCCUGAUCCAGCCAUGCCGCGUGAGUGAAGAAGGCCUUCGGGUUGUAAAGCUCUUUCAGCCGGGAAGAAAAUGCAUGGGUUAAUACCCUGUGCAGAUGACGGUACCGGAAUAAGAAGCACCGGCUAACUACGUGCCAGCAGCCGCGGUAAUACGUAGGGUGCGAGCGUUAAUCGGAAUUACUGGGCGUAAAGGGUGCGCAGGCGGUUAUGUAAGUCAGAUGUGAAAUCCCCGGGCUUAACCUGGGAAUUGCGUUUGAAACUACAAAGCUAG
RNAcentral lists this ribosomal RNA (421 nucleotides) under uncultured beta proteobacterium. RNAcentral's name for it is "bacterial SSU rRNA". It matches the Rfam family "Bacterial small subunit ribosomal RNA", at positions 231 to 644 of the family's 1533-position model. The record is from RNAcentral. Lineage: Bacteria; Pseudomonadati; Pseudomonadota; Betaproteobacteria.